This is a long non-coding RNA of Myotis myotis, 6164 nucleotides long. RefSeq lists it as uncharacterized. The transcript is spliced from 6 exons. NCBI's taxonomy places the organism in Eukaryota, Metazoa, Chordata, Mammalia, Chiroptera, Vespertilionidae. The record is from RefSeq and is a predicted model, not a curated record.
CACAUGCCCUGACCAGGUCCGGGGAUCAAGCCUGUAACAGAGGUACGUGCCUUUGACGGGAAUCAAACCCGGGACCCUCAGUCCAUGGGCCCAUGCUCUAUCCACGGAGCCAAACUGCCUAGGGCAGGGAGGGUGGUUAUCUUCAUGAGAAGGGGUUCAAUGGGAGGAAUGCCCUCCCCAAGGUCACACAGCUGGCACAGCUUUGACCCGCAGGAACUGGAGUCUGUUUUCAGACCCUGGUGGCUGUAGCAAUUCAGUCCUUGUGGCUGCCAGCUCACCUGUGCUCACCUGUACACUGGCACCAGGAAUGGGAAGGAAGGUAUGUUAGCCAGUGACCAGAGGCUUGGCUCUUACACCAUGGGCUUCUCAGGGUCAGGACCAAGGUCAGAUUCACUUUCAUGGUCCCCCAGCAAGUGAUUGGGAGUGGGACUAGGUGGAUGGACUGAUAGAUGGCCGGUCGGUGGCUCAUCACAAGGUGGAGGUGACGGCAGCCUUCGGUAAUCUGGUGAUUAUACCUUUAAAUGCUGUAAUAAUAUAGUAACUGAGAUUGUGUCUUCAUAAUAAAUUUUCAUAUUAAUUCAAAGAAUCUUCAGAGCAACCCGAGGCCCAAGAAAAUUCAACUAGUGACAGAUAAGACCAGCUACAUAAUUUGUUGUGCAAAAGUAAAACCACCAAAAAACACCCUUAUUGUAAAAAAUAUUAAGAUGGUGACAAGCAAUGGAGGAGCCUCUCUGAGUGAGAGGGUCCCUGUGUGCCUGCUGGGUGUCACGCCUGUGAAGCUGGGGCCCGGGAGAGAGACCUGAGACAUGAGCCUGGGCAGUCUGGCUCCAGAGCCUGAGUCCUUAAGUGCGAAGCUAUCCUUUCUUCCCACACUGGGCAUGGGUUCAAAAUCCUUAUCUGGGCGUGUCUCUAAAGUCAAGGCCAGAGGCACCCAUGUGGCUGAGGGUGAUUCUCUGCUGCCCUCGUGUGUUCAGCAUCCAUAUAGCCACACCUGCUUCAGGGGUGGAGCCAGGACCGUAACCCCAGACCAAGACUCCCAGCAAAGUGCCCAGAUAGCAGGGACUGCCUGUUAGGGCUAGGGCUGGGGUUAGAGUUAGGGCUAGGGUGAGGGCACAAAGUUAGGGUUAGGGCUAGUGCUAGGGUUAGGGCUAGGGUUAUAUUUAAUGUUAGGGCUAGGGCUAGUGUUUCGGUUAGAUUUGUGUGUUAGGGUCAUGGGUCAGAGAGUAAAGCUCAUAGAUCAAAGUUCAGAAGUCAAAGGUCAAAUUUCAAGGUGAGUGUAAACAUUAAAGGUAUAAGGUCAUUGGUCAAAGGCUCAAUGUCAAAGGGUCAGAAGUAAAAGGUUGGGGUCAAAGGUCACGGGUUGAUGGAAAUGGGUCAAAGGUCAGAGUUCAGAAGUCAAUGGUUAAGGUCAGAAGUAAAAGGCUAGGGUUAGGGUUAUGGUUUAGUUUUUAGGUCUAGGGCUCCAGCUUGGGCUAGGGCUCAGGCUAGGUUUAGGGUUUAGUGGUUUGGGGUUGGGUUAGGGCUAGGUUUUCUGUUUGGUUUGUAUGGAGUCAAAGGUCAAGGGUUGGAGGUCAAAGAUAAAGUGUCAGAAGUCUAUGUAAAUGGGUCGGGUGUCAGAGGUCAAAGGUCAAGUCAAGUGCCCAAAAUGUCAGAUGUCAAAGGUCAAAUAUCAGGCCAAGUGGGCAAAAGGUUAUUGUUUAAUGGUCAAGGGUCAGAAGACAAGAGCCAAAGGUCAGAGGUCAAAAGGACGAGAGCCAAAUGUCAAAGGUUAUUAAGUCACCAGAUCAUCCUGGAAAGUUCUAUCGUAAGCGACGGGCUUCUUUCGUUGUAAAUUGAGCACAAGAACGUUGUCAGGGAGGCAUGAAACUUUCUACACUGGAUGGGACCUUUGAUUAUCUGAUCCAAACCUGCUUUUAUGGGCAAAGAACUUAAAAUGCACCCCCUCUCCCAGGAACCCAGCUGGUCAGCUGCAACUCUCAAUGCUGUGCCGUUUCGCCACCCCACACUCCCUCUGUUCUUCUCCAUCCCAGGGCUUUCAAAGGAAAUAAACAAAUGAAAUGAGCUCGAGGGGGCCUCUUGGCUAAGAAAUGACUUCUUUGGUAAGAAUGCUUCAGCCUCGCGUUACCAGGGCUGCAAAAUGGAUCCUCCCGCCCGGGCAGGAACCCCCUCUGAGAAUUAAGGCAGCUUUGGGGAUGUCGAUCCAGCAGGAUAUUUGGCACGAGCGGGCCACUCCCGUCUCCUCGGCAUCUGGAACGAAGGCCAGCUGACAGGUGGACGCCAAGUAUCUGGACGUUGUGAGGAGAUGUUACCACGAUGCCCUUAAACAGAUAUUGUACAUUUCGUGGAAAAUAAUUCUUUAAACGUCUUGUAAAGUAUCAAGUGUCAUGUACAAUACACAGGAGCACCCUUAUCCCGGGUAACCUCUGCUAUCAAAAAAAGGGGGGGGGGAGCAUGAAGAAGUCAAGCCUUAUGAGAAAGCACAUUACGCGGGGGUGGACGAUGAAUCGAGGUCUCCCCACGCCUCCCCGAGAACUUCCAAGGGCUUCCGGAUGCCUCUGCUGCCCCACCCCAGGCUUGGGAGCCAGCUUCCGCAGCGAGGCAGCACCGUGGCGUGGGUUAAGCUAGCACCGCAUCCCCGAUUCGCCUGGGGGACACGCCUGGAGGCAGAGGGGCCACAGGCAGAGGCGGCGGGAAAGCUGCGGGCGCUCUCCCUCCAGGCACCCUGUUCGGACACGUGGCUUCCCUGACCCUUCAUUUCAGCCAAGCAGACUCCGCUCUCUCACCCACUGCCCCAGAGCUGCUCUUGUCACCAAAAGACAGCAGCCACGUCGUCCCUUCCUCCCCGGCCACCCGCUCGAGGGGAAGAAAUGGCAUCGCUCUCCUCCCCCCUUCUCCCAACACCCUGUCCUUUGCUCAGAAACCCUCCUUGGCCCCCUGACCGCAUUUCUGUCCGCCUGUGAGGACAGCCUAGGGUGGGUGAGCCCCACGGGGCAGGGAAUGUCCAAGGGCCCUGGGCUGAGGGGCAGGGCAUCUGACUCGCGGGUCCGCCUUCGUAGCUGAGAAUCUGAAACGCCGGGCCACGGUUUUCUCACCUGGGAAAUGGGGAGACAGAAGCCAGCCCUGCAGUCCUCGUGGGGCGGAUGGGAGGCGAUGUGGGUGAAAGUGUGUUUGCAAAAAUCACUGUAACAGCCAGGGAGCAAUGGCCCUUCCUGGGGGGAUUCGAAGUCACUCGUGGCCCCGUCAGUGACGGGCCACCCUGCUCUCGUCCCCCAGGCCUCCACCUACUGUCCACUCCGAUGGAUGCUCCCAGCCUCCCCCACCUCCCCUUGCCAUUGGGCUGCCUGACACUGAGCUGGAGUUUCUAUAUGGAAAGAUCGAAAGUCUCCCGACUUCCCUCUUAUCUCUAAAGCAGGGGUGGGGAACCUCCGGCCCACGGGCCAUGUCAUUUGGUCUGGCCCUGCCAAGGCAACCUCAGGCAGGACUAAAUCUGGGGACUUUUUCACUGCGACAUCAUGUUUAAACUGGUAAUGUUGCGUGGCCCACGGAUGAUGUAAAUAUCCAAAUGGCCCUUGGCAGAAAAAGGCCCCCUCCCCCCAAAGAAUGCCCCGACGACCCUGGCUCCGCGGAAAACCAUCUCCCUGCCCCCAGCUGGCUCCCAUAGAACCUUCUUCCACAGUCAGCACGAUCCGGCUCGCGACACCCUCCCUAGGUUUGUGAAGUAAAGUGGCCUCUUUUUUCUCCCCAAGACUCUGCCACAGGGGCUCCCAGCGCCAGAGUAACAACCCGCCAGUCUAGAGUUCCAACACGGGUGCAAGAGACUCAACCCAGAAGCAGAAGCCCCACAUCGGGCGAGGCCAGUGGAACCCAUCAUUUCUCCCAACGAGCUGGAACUGACCACCCUCGCCACCAGAGGGCGCCACUUGCGGGUCACUAUGGAAGCCAACCCGGAAAUUCCAACCUGCUCCACCCACCCAGAAUCCGGUCCCCUUAACCAGCCAUGGCUCUGGACCAGCUGACCGCCAGGGGCCGGAAGGAUGUUCCAGAUGGCGCCUGUCAGACCCAGAUUAGCCAGAGUGAAAACCCACGGUGAGGUUUCUGUCUGAGGUCCCCAAAGCAUCUCUCCACGGACCUUCAUGACGGGACAGACACACGCGAGCUCCCUGACCGCGGGUCAGACACCAGAGGGCGGCUGGGGUGGGGGUGGGGGGCAGGAGACGGAGGGUCUGUGUGGCCACCCCUAAUGCAGCAGGCGUCUUGGUCGGGUUUGGGGGGGUGGCUGACCCCCUCAACUGGGUGGACCAAGGUUUCUUCUUGGCCCAAAGGACAAGCAGACGUGGUGGGGAAUUCGGCCCGAGGCGUGGGCUCUGCUGGGCCGGCUGGCUCUCUGAUUGAGUGCGACGUCCCCCCAACCCAAGGGGUUCCACAGAAGUCGUUGUUCCUGAUCCCACCUCUCCUCUUCUCCCCGAGGCUCACCAGUCCACGCUCACAGCCCCGGGGCCCGACGAACAGAAGGCGAAGGAAAACCGGGUCACAAAAUCAUGGGUCACGGGGACGGGAGGAAGGGGGGCGGGGGAGCAUCUGCCGGGAGAGGGAUCCCGGACAGCAGACAGCGUCUGGGUGGCAGCGAAGCGGGCGCCUGGACCUGGACGUUGGCGGGCGGGGCUCCCCCUCCUCCUGGGGCCGGGCUCAGAUGGCCAGCCAGUGCUGCAGCUGCGGAAAGACCGGGCCUCAGUGUCUGUCCGGGGCGGGCGGGGGUGGGGGGAGCACCCAGGGCCAGCUGGGGAGCAGCACAGGGGAAGCAGGAACCACCCCUUCCCUCCAGGACCCCGAGGACAUGCAGGCUGAUCCCCUCAUGGCCACCAACACCCCGAAAGGGCAAAGGCACCGUCCCCAAGUCACACAGCGUGUCUGCAGCAGGGAGCUCACCGGGACCCGCCCCAGCCCCUGGCAGGCACGUUUCUGAGGGGGCAAAGGUAGGACUCAGGCCACCCCGUCACUGAUGUGCUCACAGCACUUCCUUCAACAUAAGACGCCCUCAGCUAGCUUGGUGACUCUCCCGGGGGACAACUCAGUGCAGGCAGAGCUCAGCAGAGCUGUGGCCGGUGCAGGCCAGGACCCAGAUGCAGAGGCCAGCGGACGCCAGCAGGGGCAGGGGACAGCCCCACCCCGACCGAACGCCAGGCCCCCGGGAGCCAUGGCCCGCUGCUGCUGUGGGACUCUGGCGUGGGGCGUGGGAUCCUGCCCAGGGCAACCAGCACACAGCGGCCCCCCCACGAGCGGUCCGGCUGCACCCACCUGGAACUGCCUGACGUCCCUCUGGGCCACCAGGAAUGACUCCAUGCCCCUCCCAUGCUGUCCCCCGCGCCCCGCCCCCCCCCUUCGGGCCCCAGCUCACCUCCCAGAGGGAGCCCCGGGUGCUCAGGAACUUGUAGACGAUGUAGGCGGGCACCAGGAUCAUGGAGGACAGUGCGACGCCCCACCCGACCCAGUUGGCCCAGAGUGGGAAGAUGUAAUCAUCGUAGGACGCGAGCCCCCAAACUACACACCAGGAGGAAGGCAGGGCUCACAAACUUCCAGCACAGCCUCCAGUACAGGCCGGGCUUGAACCCCAUCAUCUGCUGGAUGUCGUUGCUGAACCUGUCCACCCCUGCGCACACACGGACAGGCCUGUCACCGCGGCCACCCCUGCUGCCCAGCCCCAGGGCCCCGCCCCAGGGCAGCGAGGCCACCCCUGGCACUUACUCCUGGGGACGGGCGCCCUGCUGGCCAGAACAAGGGAGAGGACACCCUCACGGAGAGUGUCACCCAUGUGCCCUCCGAUUCAUUUUCCAGAGGCAGACAGGACCCGGGAGGGGCAGGCACAUGCCCCAGGCCACACCCCAGGAAAGACUGCGAGCAGGACUAACCCUGGGAUGGGCCACGCGGGGAAGGAACGGUGCCGACAUGUGGGCACUCGGUAACGCCUCUCCCGUCCCCGGCAGAGUCGGGCGCCAGCUGCAGCACAGGCCCCACGUCUGAAUCUCAGACGGUGGACACGGCCUCGGCUGACGGUGAUGGCGAACCUAUGACACGCGUGCCAGAGGUGACACGCGAACUCAUUUUUUUGGUUGAUUUUUCUUUGUUAAAUGGCAUUUAAAUGUAUAAAAUAAAUAUCAAAAAUAUAA